CUCCAUGAAGUCGGAAUCGCUAGUAAUCGUGGAUCAGAAUGCCACGGUGAAUACGUUCCCGGGCCUUGUACACACCGCCCGUCACACCAUGGGAGUGGGCUGCAAAAGAAGUGGGUAGUUUAACCUUUCGGGGAGGACGCUCACCACUUUGUGGUUCAUGACUGGGGUGAAGUCGUAACAAGGUAGCGCUAGGGGAACCUGGCGCUGGAUCACCUCCUUAUACGAUGAU
RNAcentral lists this ribosomal RNA (229 nucleotides) under Vibrio navarrensis. RNAcentral describes it as "partial 16S ribosomal RNA". It matches the Rfam family "Bacterial small subunit ribosomal RNA", at positions 1316 to 1533 of the family's 1533-position model. Lineage: Bacteria; Pseudomonadati; Pseudomonadota; Gammaproteobacteria; Vibrionales; Vibrionaceae. The record is from RNAcentral.